CCCCCGCGCGCGGACUCAGGAUGCAGGUGCUGGGAAGCAGCCACGUGUGGAUCCGGAAGGUCUGCUCAGUUAAUGACCUCACUGUCCAAACCGCAGUAACUAUUGAACUGAAACCCACAGCCUUCAUGCUAACAGGGAUCCAUGCCUUUGUUUUUCGCACCUUUUUAUUGUAGUGCUUUCCCUGCAUGCAAAUGAGAUUCUUAAGGAAAACUUCGCAUGAUUUUCUUGAGGAGAAAAGCCUUGAGGUGUCACGCUGUAAAAGUGCAGUGGAAGAGCGGAUCGCAGCUGGUGUUCAGCAGCACCGGGUCCACCCCUGACUGGCACUGUGGGCACUCCUCCAGCUUGCAGAAGGUGAUGUUCAUGAUGUUUUCCUGCAGCGUGAGCACGUCCACGGCGCCCACCGCCUUGUCCACAUAGAAGGCGCUCAGCCGCCGCCAGUCCACGCUCUCCAGCCGCGGUCGGAACAGGAAGAAGGGCAGGGGGCCUGAAGCCGCGCUGGGCGGGACACAGGCCAUGGCGGCCCCACCUGCCGCGGUGGCUGCCAAGGUCUAUGUGCUGUGGUCUCCAUCCACUGGGCUGCAGGAUCCGCGGGAACAAGGGCCGUGGUUUCUCUUGCUCACUGUUCCACCCCCACACACCCCCGGCACCCCAGCUGCGCGCUCCUGGGCGGGCGCCCGGCGCUGCAGGCGGAUGGGGGCGAGGCUGGGGACGCAGAUCCCGGGGCGCUGCUUGGAGGCCGAAGAACAGUCGAGGGGGAAGCGGCGGGCCAGCUCUCCUUUCAGGGCACAGGAUGAGGACUGUCUGUUUUGGGCAAGUUGUGAGGAGGAGAGCCGCCAGGUGCUUCUCUGGGCCGUCCCAGAUUUUAGGCUGUGGCGCCUCGGGAUCCCCCUCUCUGCUCCCGCCUGCCUCCCCUCCGCGAUCUCGCUCCCACCUCUUCUCUCUGCUUCCCAGCUCCUCUGGAUUUUUCUAAUGUCAAAAAGGCUUUUUGUACUGAAUUUUCUUGUUCUUUCUGGUCAGGGCCUAUGCAUCAGAGUUCCACAGAACAGAGACUGAAAUGCCUUGACAUGCACGUGGGAGCACAGAUCUUGCUCUUGAAUAAGUUUGGGAUGUUACACAGCAACCAAAUUUCAAUAGGCUUCUGUAGUGCAGAAGUUCUUUAAAACGUUCUUGUGCAACCUUGGCCGCAAAAGCAUCAUUUAAGAGGCAAUUUCCCUAACUUACCUCAUGAUGAAACCUGUUUCGCUGGGCAUCCCUAUAAAGAUCUUCUUCAGCAGCUCAGUAGACCACUUGGGAAAACACUUCUCUUCCUGGAGUCAUGGACUUAAAUAAAAGGUCCCUUUAAAAAUAUGACUUUAAUUUAAGGCCCAAGAAAAUGAGACUACUCUAUUUAGGACCGCAUGAUUUUGUCACUCUCCUAACCAGAAACAUUGGGGGCGCCCUGACCCCCAGCACUUCCAGCCUCACCCCCGCCUGGCAGCUCUCCCCAAACCUGCCCAGGGUCUCUUUCUGCCUGGUCAGAUUUAUUCUAUAAGAAACACUGACCUCUGCAAUUAGCAAAGCAGGCACCAGCAAACGUCAUAGCAAAUCAGAUGGAAACCAAUUUUUAAAAUAUGCAUAGAGUGACUGCGUCUUGAGAAAUGCAUUAGUAAAAUCCAAGAACUCUCUGUAAUUAGUAGUAAAAACCCUAGACAGCUGAAAAGCAGAGUUGUCAAUAAUUGACCAAGAAAUUACAAAUACAAAUUAACUGAAAACUUCUAUUGAUUACCUACUGAAUGCAGAUUCAAAUAUGGAAAAAUUAAGGUUCUGCUCUUGAGGAACCUACAGACUGUGAUUAGAAAAGUAUUGCACAAAGUUUUAAAGACAGCACACCUAUAGCGCCAGGGCAGACUAUGGACUCCCAUCAAAUUCCCAGUGAGUAGGGCUGCUGGGUAAUUUCAGGCAGAGAGCAAGAACAGACAGAGGGCAGGAAGGAUGCAGUGGGCUGCGGGGCCAUGGCUGGGCGCAGAGGUCACUGGGAGAUUCAGUGGAGCUGGGGGGGCCCGAGUAUCCGCUUGCCAGGCUUAGGCUGCAGCAGGGGUUGGGCUGGAUCCGGUGUAUUCCUGCCCUGUAAGCUUGUGCAUAGUGGGAACCAUGAGCAGUAUUCUUUUAUUUUGUUUCAUUUUUUCAUUUCUGUGUUACAUUUAGAAUGAGAAAAAAUGAACUUUAAAAAUAAUAGAGAUAUGCAAAUAACUCUAGUCUCUCCUACCAGGUAGAUAUUAAAUCACCUCCCC
Molecule: long non-coding RNA, 2270 nt
Organism: Camelus dromedarius (Arabian camel)
Lineage: Eukaryota; Metazoa; Chordata; Mammalia; Artiodactyla; Camelidae
Source: Ensembl